UAGAACACUUUGAAUUUGGAGCGAUCUGAUUCGACGACAAAUCCAUCUUUCCGCGUCAGAAAAGGCUUCGUCUGGCCAGUAGUUGUUUAUGACAGCUAUCGGCCAUUGCCGAUUUCGUACUAGACGAAAGCCUCAAAAUACUAAUUCGCUUUCAUUAUUUAAAUGGUGUUUUCAGUUCUAUUAAACGAUUCUGUUUUCAGGAGUGAUGUUGACCCAUACAAUCCUCAACAUGAACAGUCUGCUGCGUCUGUUUUGGGUUCCCUGAUCCAAGAACUUGAGUCCAAGGCCCAGAUUUUAACCACAGAAGAAUUUUUUCUAACAAAAAUUAAUCUUCAAGGUUGUUUCUGAGAUUUUUCGACAACGGUACAACCAAAAUCCCCUUGCCCUGCUGAGAAUCAGUCGACAUUGUUUGUGUUCAUUGGAUCGAGUCAUACGCUGUCCGUUAUUCCAGUGAUGGAGAGACCUGGUUCACUGUACUCAACGACGACAGUACUCAGCGUGUGGUCCAUGGCAACAUGGACGUCAAUACGCAAACCACGAACGAGAUGAUCGUUGUUCCAUAACCAGCAGUGCUGCCACUUCUGAAAUAGCAAAGUCGUGCAGGGUUGCCUAAAAAGUCCCGAAAAUCCGUUUUUUUUUUUUGAAAAAUCCUGCACUUUAUCUUGCACGAUUUUCUUCAAAAUCCCGCAAAAAUCUUGCAAAAAAAAAAACCCCGCAUGAAUCCGACACGAUCCAACAUAAUUUCCUAGUUAUCCUUAUUUGAAGUCUUUUCUUGUCAGACAGGUAAAACAUUAUUUUGAUACUGUUGACCGACAGUUAAAAGCUACACAGCAGCUCGGUAGGAUGCUUAUUUUAGUCCUAUUUUAGCACUUUAAGAUUACUUAACACGUUACGCUUUUUGGUAAGAAUUAUAAACAAACUGAAAAGCAAAAUUUCAUGCUUCUUCGA
Long non-coding RNA from Daphnia pulicaria, 948 nucleotides. RefSeq lists it as uncharacterized. The transcript is spliced from 3 exons. NCBI's taxonomy places the organism in Eukaryota, Metazoa, Arthropoda, Branchiopoda, Diplostraca, Daphniidae. The record is from RefSeq and is a predicted model, not a curated record.